RNAcentral lists this non-coding RNA (99 nucleotides) under Vibrio marisflavi. RNAcentral describes it as "TPP". It matches the Rfam family "TPP riboswitch aptamer (THI element)". From Rfam's summary of the family: Vitamin B(1) in its active form thiamin pyrophosphate (TPP) is an essential coenzyme that is synthesised by coupling of pyrimidine and thiazole moieties in bacteria. The previously detected thiamin-regulatory element, thi box was extended, resulting in a new, highly conserved RNA secondary structure, the THI element, which is widely distributed in eubacteria and also occurs in some archaea. The record is from RNAcentral. Lineage: Bacteria; Pseudomonadati; Pseudomonadota; Gammaproteobacteria; Vibrionales; Vibrionaceae.
CUCUACUUGUCGGAGUGCCACAAGGCUGAGACCGUUAAACCGGGAUCCGUUGAACCUGAUCAGGCUAAUACCUGCGAAGGGAACAAGAGAAAAUUAACA